Molecule: ribosomal RNA, 310 nt
Filed under: uncultured bacterium
Lineage: Bacteria
Description: bacterial SSU rRNA
Rfam family: Bacterial small subunit ribosomal RNA
Source: RNAcentral
AUUGAACGCUGGCGGCAUGCCUAACACAUGCAAGUCGAACGAGACCUUCGGGUCUAGUGGCGCACGGGUGCGUAACGCGUGGGAAUUUGCCUCGGGGUACGGAAUAACUCAGGGAAACUUGAGCUAAUACCGUAUGAUGUCUUCGGACCAAAGAUUUAUCGCCCUGAGAUAAGCCCGCGUAGGAUUAGCUAGUUGGUGAGGUAAGAGCUNACCAAGGCGACGAUCCUUAGCUGGUCUGAGAGGAUGAUCAGCCACACUGGGACUGAGACACGGCCCAGACUCCUACGGAGGCAGCAGUGGGGAAUAUUGG